GAUGAACGCUGGCGGCGUGCCUAACACAUGCAAGUCGAACGGAAAGGCCCUGUUAUUGUGGGGUGCUCGAGGGGCGAACGGGUGAGUAACACGCGAGUAACUUGCCCUUGACUUUGGGAGAACUUCAGGGAACUUAGGCUAAUACCGGAUAGGAGCUCACGCUGCAUGGUGGGGGUUGGAAAGUUUCGGCGGUUGGGGAUGGACUCGCGGCUUAUCAGCUUGGUGGUGGGGUAGUGGCUUACCAAGGCAUUGACGGGUAGCCGGCCUGAGAGGGUGACCGGCCACGUUGGGACGGGGAUGCGGCACAGACUCCUACGGUAGGCAGCGGUGGGGAAUAUUGCACAAUGGGCGGAAGCCAGAUGCAGCACCGCCGCGUGCGGGAUGACGGCCUUCGGGUUGUAAACCGCUGUCGCCUGUGACGAAGAGUGAGUGACGGUAAUGGGUAAAGAAGCACCGGCUAACUACGUG
This 468-nucleotide ribosomal RNA is filed under the name uncultured bacterium. Its description in RNAcentral is "partial 16S ribosomal RNA". It matches the Rfam family "Bacterial small subunit ribosomal RNA", at positions 28 to 507 of the family's 1533-position model. The record is from RNAcentral.